AUACGGAGGAUCCGAGCGUUAUCCGGAUUUAUUGGGUUUAAAGGGAGCGUAGGUGGACAGUUAAGUCAGUUGUGAAAGUUUGCGGCUCAACCGUAAAAUUGCAGUUGAUACUGGCUGUCUUGAGUACGGUACAGGUGGGCGGAAUUCGUGGUGUAGCGGUGAAAUGCUUAGAUAUCACGAAGAACUCCGAUCGCGAAGGCAGCUCACCGGGCCGGAACUGACACUGAUGCUCGAAAGUGCGGGUAUCAAACAGGAUUAGAUACCCUGGUAGUCCGCACAGUAAACGAUGAAUACUCGCUGUUUGCGAUACACGGUAAGCGGCCAAGCGAAAGCGUUAAGUAUUCCACCUGGGGAGUACGCCGGCAACGGUGAAACUCAAAUGAAUUGACGG
Molecule: ribosomal RNA, 391 nt
Filed under: uncultured bacterium
Lineage: Bacteria
Description: partial 16S ribosomal RNA
Rfam family: Bacterial small subunit ribosomal RNA
Source: RNAcentral